Molecule: long non-coding RNA, 844 nt
Organism: Lutra lutra (Eurasian river otter)
Lineage: Eukaryota; Metazoa; Chordata; Mammalia; Carnivora; Mustelidae
Exons: 2
Source: RefSeq, a predicted model, not a curated record
AGGGAUUCCAGUAACUUACCUUCUUCAGCAGGGAGCUCUAUCCAGGGGAAAAAAAGAAGAAAAGGACAUAUUCAUUUGGGGUUCAGUCUAAUGUCUCCUACAUCCAGGAUUCUGGCUAAGGAGAAGCCGGUCAUCUGAACUUCUGUGUGAAAUCCCAGUGGAAACACUAUCCAGGCCAAGCAAAUCAUGUAUGCAGUUCCAACCCAGAUAAAACUUCCCACUUGACAGAUGAGGACAACUGAGGCCUAGAGAGGCUAAUACCUUGCUGAGGCCAAACAGCAAAGCAGAGGAAAAGCCAGGCAUGGAAGCCAGCAUCUUCCGUUAUCUACCCUCCAGCUUCCCAGCUUGGCCCCAAGAAGGGGGGCAGCCAGACUGCCCUAGGGCCCCUCUGCAGUCAGGCUCUGUGGCCACUGCAUUCAAUCUCUCCCAAUACAGCCACUGCGCCGCAGCCCUGGCCCCACAGUGUCUCUCUGCCUGCUUUCUGCCUAAAGUAGGAAGCCUUCACUGAAGAAUUCCGAGCAGGAAGGGGCCUUAGACGUGGUCCAUCCUGCUGCUCACUGCUCUGUCCCAUUAAGAGAACUUGGCUGGAGACCCUGGGAAGCACUGUUCAUUCGGCUCUGCACUUACCGCUCAACCAACAGCACAGCCCGCAGGAGAGCCGCGAGCUGAGAGCACAGCGCUGGAGGGCAACAGGGAUUUGACCUGACACAGCCUUCCAGCCUCUCCGCUCCCGAGCGGGCAACACUGAGUGGGCUGCCUUCCUGACCCGCCUGUCCCAGACCCCACUGCAGACACUGGCCACAGCCAUCACGAUGGAACUGAGAUAAACCCUUUUAUUUAUUUA